UUCCUGGAUUGCUGAGGGAAGGGAGAAGGGAGGCAGAACAAUCAAGUCUUAAGUUCCUCAUCCCUAUCUCAAGCAAAAUGACGUGAAUUUAAUUGGAAGGGUGUUUUGGACUCAACAGUUUAAUAUGGAGGUCUGGCAUUAUAGCAAUUCCAGGACAAGGAUCGGAAAUUGAUGGGAAAAUAAAGCCCAUGGAGAAACAGAAGACUUCCUGUCAUUCUCUGUCCUUAGACCCACGAGCAAUAGUGACUCUCAGAUGGAGCAGGAAGAAGGAAGACAGACAACAGAGUCGUGAUAAAUGGGAAACUGCAGCAACUCAAUAAAGACAAGACCACCAAUGACUCAAAUCCUGCAGGAAUGAAGUGCUGUGUCACCCGACAGGAAUUACCGAGAAGCAACAAGAAGAAUUUUUAAAAACUACAUUCUCCUUUAGCUAUGUAACAAGGAGACAGAUCGAAACCUCUUAGGCAAAUGGAGGAAACGCUGCCACGCGCAGUGGAAACAAGCAGAUGGGUUUGGGGAGGACCAGGACAGCAAACACUGAGGCUUCUGGUAACAGACAAACCAGCAACCAACACUUCUCACAGAUGAAAGAAACAUCCUGAAGCAUAACCCCUAAGGUCUCUCUUCAUAAGAGCAGAAAUAGUGUACAUAUGCUGGAAUCUGAAAUGUUCCUGCUCAAGUUUAGACCCUGAGAAGCAUAGUAAAUAGAGCUAAAUAAAAGUCAGACUGACGAGUCCUGUUUUUCUGAAGCAGUCUGCCUCAGUGGCUUCAAGGGAGAAGGAAGCCAUUGCAUCGAGAAACAUCCCAGAACUUCCCAACGCCAUUAGAUGGCAAGAAGUAAAGAUCACAUGAUUUCACACACAAAACCCUUGGCAGUAAAGGAAAUUCCUGCAAACCAACCUUCCUUUGAACAAAUAUGUAGGAAAUAUCUGAGAGGGGAAAAAUACUCACCUAUGACUUAAAUGAUUCAUCAAAAAGGAAACAGCAGAAAAUCUUCACGGCUGCACUAUAAGAAAAGGAAGAAAACCUAGAAGAUGAAAAUUGUGGCGAAAUUUCAUUGGGGGUUAAAAAACAAUCAACCAAGCUAUUGAUUCUCUGAAACAAAGCACAAAAGCACAAAAUGCAACAGUUGCAGAAAGUGAUUUCCAACAGACAUAAUAACUUAACAAGGAGUAGGCGUUGUUCAGGGUAGAGGUGUAAGA
This is a long non-coding RNA of Equus caballus (horse), 1202 nucleotides long. RefSeq lists it as uncharacterized. The record is from RefSeq and is a predicted model, not a curated record. Lineage: Eukaryota; Metazoa; Chordata; Mammalia; Perissodactyla; Equidae.